GCGGGCCGCGGCCGGGACGGGAAGCCGGGUCCUCGUCCGCGCCGGCCUCGGGGCCGGGACUGGGCGGGGAGGCCGCCCCGGGCUGAGGCCUCGCCCCUGCACCGCGCGCGCUGCGGAGGGCCCGGUUCUGUUUGCCGUUGAGAGUCCCCAGGGCCCCGCCGCCCCCACUUCUUCGUUCCUAAGUCUUCAGCGCUCCCCCCACCGCCUCGUCUCUCGUGUUUACCUCUCCUCCCCCGCCCCCCCUCCCCUUUCCACAUUCCACCUCGGCCGCUUCCUCCCCGGGCCGGGGCUCUCCUUCCGACCUCUGCUUUUCUGCUCCAAGAAGAAGGCGGGCCAGUUUCGCAACGCAGAAGGGGAAAAGAAACCGAUUACACACAGCUGCCACCCGUCGCCCUUGUCAAACAUCGGGUUCCCUCCCGCACAUGAUCUCAUUUAAUCCUCAAAUCAUCCUUGAACAGGUACGUCCUCGUGUACUGCCCUCCUUUGGAGAGGCUGUACGUGGUGGCGGCUAGAGUUUGGACUCUGGAACCUGCCUUAGCGUCUCGGCUCCGCAGUUUACCAGCCGCGUGACCUGGGGAAAGUCCAACCUCUCUGUGCCUCAGUUGCUCAUCUGUAGUUACUUCCUCCAGGAGUUGUUGUAAAGAUUAAAUGAACAAUGACACAGUAGGCCUCACGCCCAGUGCCCAGCAUGUGAACCCACUGUGGGACUUAAACGCACAAUCCUGAGAUCCAGACCUGAGCUGACGUGGAGUUAGUCGCCUAACUGACUGAGCCACCCAGGUGCGCUAAACGGUAACAUGACAAGCAGGAAUAUGUAUUGCCUGUCCUUCUGUCUUUUCGCGAUAGGGUGCUAACACAAUGAGGUGUGUUCUUUUUACUCUGCCACGGCCCAUUCAUUCGCUAGGAUUGACAACCUGGUGUGCGUCGAUCUUAACCAUAAAUCAGUUUCUGAUGGUGUCUUGGAUGUGCACUGUGCCUUGUAGACUCAAGCUAACGUUACUGCUUCUGUUGCACCCUCGUUGAAACGUCUGUGAAGAAGCACUAGCAGGUUAAGGAUCCCCAACUUUGGAAAAGGAACGUGAUGUGAAACUAGAAUUCUCUGUUAAAAAGCCUUGUGGAAUUUUGCAAAUUACAGAAGUAGUACAUGCCUGUCAGAAGCUGGGACAAACAGUACAGAAGUGUAUUAAAGAGAGUUAGGCGCCCCCUGCACAUGCUUCGAGGCGCUCAGGGGGGCCAAGGCCGACUGCCCCCAAGAUGUGCCACUUUGGUCACGCAGAUCAUGCCGAGCUGAAAACAAUCCAGGCCCAGAAGACGCAGGGAGAAAUUUUGACCUUGCCCCCAAAACUGCCUCAAAGAAAUGAGAUUGGGGACGUGCUCCGGGAAGGGAGCCAUUGCCAUACUUACCUACAUUAUAAUGUGAAGUAGGUAUGGUGGAGAGCGAGGAAUUCAGCAAAGUCCGGUUGAUCAAAAUCUUCCCUGUGUCCCAUUGUUUCUGGAUGACCCAGUCAACAUUUAUUUACCACGUUCGCUCUUUUUCAUUCUUCCUGUGAGCAUUCCUUCCCUUUGUAGUCUCAGACUCCUUCCUCCUCCUUAGUUCAGGGUGACUUCGCACUGCCUGGCUGUCUUUGGAAUCUUACGCGUGUGUGGAUUCCCUAUGUCCCUGAAAUUAAAUUUGAUUUUCUCCUGUUAA
Long non-coding RNA from Lynx canadensis (Canada lynx), 1690 nucleotides. RefSeq lists it as uncharacterized. NCBI's taxonomy places the organism in Eukaryota, Metazoa, Chordata, Mammalia, Carnivora, Felidae. The transcript has 5 exons. The record is from RefSeq and is a predicted model, not a curated record.